This 394-nucleotide long non-coding RNA is filed under the name Elaeis guineensis (African oil palm). RNAcentral describes it as "long non-coding RNA (EGUI_LNC061321)". Lineage: Eukaryota; Viridiplantae; Streptophyta; Magnoliopsida; Arecales; Arecaceae. The record is from RNAcentral.
AACCAGAGAGGAUCUAGUUUUGGUCGACCAAAAUGGAGAGGAUAAGGUGGUUGGGUGGCUGUUUUGAAUUUGAUUUGGUUAAGUUCUAUUUAAAUGUUGUAUUGUUGCUCGGUUUGAACCUAAUUCCAAUUUGAACAUUCACCAUGCUUUCUUUCCGAUUCUUCGUGCCAUCUCCCUUCCUCCCUCUGACUUCUAAGCCUUUUCUACGUCCAAGGUGUUAGAAAAUAGGUUGAUUCGCAUGCAUAGAUCUAUAUAUUAUGGUAACCACAAUGAAAACAGAUUUUAAAAUUUUUAGUCUAAUUUAAGCAUGCUGAUUCUAAAUCAUAAUCAAACCUAGGAUUGUCUAAUAUAUAUAAAUAAAUUUAUGAACAUAGUUCUGAAAUCAAAAACAGCA